Molecule: long non-coding RNA, 806 nt
Organism: Sapajus apella (tufted capuchin)
Lineage: Eukaryota; Metazoa; Chordata; Mammalia; Primates; Cebidae
Exons: 4
Source: RefSeq, a predicted model, not a curated record
AGACUCCAUUUCUUUCUGGUCCAAUCUUGUAAGAUUAUAUGUUUCCAGAAAUUUAUUCAUUUCUUCCAGGUUUUCUAGUUUGUGUGCAUGGAAUUGUUCGCAGUAUUCUCUGAGGUUAUUUUCUAUUUCAGUGGGGUCAAUGGUAAUGUCCCCUAAGUCAUUUGAUUACUUAGAUCUUCUCUCUUGGUUGUUCAUUAGUCUAGCUAGUGGUCUAUUAAUGUUAUUUGCUCUUUAAAAGAAACAGCUUAUGGAUUUGUAGAUUUUUGUAUGGUGUUUCAGAUUUCAAUUUCCUUCAGUUUCACUUUGUUUGACUUUGAUUUUUGGUUAUUUCUUGUCUUCUGCUAAUUUUGGGGCUGGUUUGCUAUUGUUUAUCUAGUUCCUCUAGUUGUGUUGCCAUUUCAGUCUAGUUGAGAACCAUUGCUGGGGAACUAGUACAGUCAUCAGGAGAGUUUCAAGAGUCAUGGUGAUAUGGCUUCAAUGAGUGGAGGAACACCUGGGCUCCAGUCUUGCAUAAAUUAGGGAUAACAAUCAGCUGACACCAAAGUGUGAUAAGAGGUUCUAAUGAUAUAAUGCAUGUAGAAUACACACAAAAAUCACUUUGUGUUUGAAUUACCACUACCAUAAGCAAUGCUCAAUCAGAAAAGCUAGCUUAAUUUUCACCUGUGUCAUGUUAAUUUGUUCCCUUUCUGUUCAAUCAGAUGUAGUUCUGGAGACUUCUAAGCCUUGCCAUCAUACACUUUUUUUCUAUAUUGGAGCUUAGCCUAUAUUGUAAAUAUAAAAUCCUUCGAGGCAGUUGCAGCUUUUAC